RNAcentral lists this long non-coding RNA (1473 nucleotides) under Sus scrofa (pig). RNAcentral describes it as "lncRNA (ENSSSCG00070006380.1)". The record is from RNAcentral. Lineage: Eukaryota; Metazoa; Chordata; Mammalia; Artiodactyla; Suidae.
CCGUCUUCUGAUCCCUUAGCCUGUGUGUGACACUCUCCAGGCAAACAGUGUUAGAGCUGAGUUAAACGGCAGGACUCUGAGCUGCUCUCACCCGAAUUAAUUUGUGGGGAGCUCCCUCCCCCCCCCCCCGCCAUUUGGAGACCAGAAGUGUGAGAAUUGUUCUGCGUGAGCGGUAAAGACCCACCUGAAAGACACACAUAGCAAAGAACUGUAGCUUUUCCUUUACAGAUGGGAUGGGAGGGGGAACGCCAUUUCCCCUAGUGACCCACUGUCAAAGGUUUUGCCUCCUGUCCCCAUGCAUUUAUGCACUGCUGGGUCGGAGGUCUUAGCUCCUGAGGGACGAGUGCUUCGGCCAGAUGGCCCAGCAAGGAUCCCAGGGAACUGUAAGUUCGGACGGCCGCCUGACCACUUUGGCCUCUUAGCCCUGAGUCCGAAGGCCCAAAAGAGAGUUCCAGUGUGGGCUAGAGGGACGGAUCCUAACUACAGGGGACACUGGACGCCGCUCCUCGGUGGAGGAAUCUGUGCAUCGCAGUGUCCAGUGCUGACUCGGUGACCUGGCCUUUAAGUACCGGUCAUUUCACAUCCCAGUGUUUAAGCUACAGGGUUUCCCAGGUUUUCCUCCCAGCGGACGGGCAGCUUCAGAUGCUGUGUGUGCCACUUGGACGUCGCAGUGAAUUGAACGCUUAGAAGAAGAGUAAAGGGCACCCACGGACUUUUCUCCUCCUCCAGGGAAGAGGUGAGUUUUCAGGGAUACCCAGGGAAGCGGGACCAGGUUAGGUGAAAUUGUGACUUUGUUAGAUUGUUUUUCAUUGGAGAGGAAACGUGGUUUAAGGAGCGCAGUACGGGGGCCAGGCUGACACGGGUGGGUUUGUAAUAGGUGAAUGUAUGUGUCAACCUGACUGGAUCAGAGGAUACGCAGAAAUCUGUCUGAACGUCAUUUCUAGGUCUGUCUGUGAGGGUGUCUGCAGAUGAAAUUAGUAUGGGAAUCAGCAGACCUGGCGAAGCAGGCUGUCCUCUUCUCCGUGGCUCUGCAUUAUCCAGUCCAUCGAGGGCCUGAGUAGAAGAAAAAGGCAGAGGAGGGAGGAAUUCUCCCCUCCCCAGAUUUCUGCCUCGCUGCUUGAGCUGGGUCAUCUCACCUCAUCUGCUGCUGCCUUCAGCCUGGGGUUUUACCUUGUUGGCUCCUCUUGAUUCUCAGGCCUUUGGACUCUGACUGAAUUGUGCCAGUGGCUUUUCUGGGUCUCCCCUUUGCAGAUUGCACGUUAUGGGACUUCUCAGCCUCGGUACCCACACCACAUAAGCUAGUUCCUCAAAACGGAUCUUUCAUAUCCUGUUGGUACUAUUGUUUCUGAAGACCUCUGACUGAUAGAAACCUGGAGAUUUCUUCUGAAGGUUGAAAUUAUAAAUUUCAAUACUUGGGUCAUUAUCAGACGAUUCAUCUUGGAUGAAGUUUCGUAGUUUCAAAUCGGUGUCGGG